AUUCGCCUCCAACGAGGGGACAGCGAAUCUGCUGUCGUGUGCAGUCCACAGCAACCACAGGUAUAUGAAAUAAUGUCACUACAUCGGAGCAGCGCCUCUGCUUGCACACCUAUGGGAGUCUGCAGCUGUGACACGUAGAAGUUGGCCACAUCCAGGUCGGUGGCUCCAAAGUGGGCGGCCACACGCACACCCUCGUGCAACGUGAAGCUCACCUGAUGACCCACCAUGGCCAGCAGGCUGCGGAGGUAACGCUCCCGAAGGGCGGCUCGUGCCCGCUGCUCCUGGGAUUCCAGGGAUUCUUGAGCUAUGGGACACUCCUGGAUUUCAGGAACCUCUGGCCUCAAGGGGGCUCUGCGUCCAUCAGGGGCAAAGCCACGGCUGAAGCCAUCAGGGCCCCGGGGCAGCCGGAGCACAGGCACGGGAAUGUUCACUGGAGUUUGCAUUGUCUUGGCUGUUGAGUGAAGAAAAAGAGCAGGAAGUCAUUACAUGGUAAGCAUGGGGCUAAUGGAGGAGGGAGGAGUGGAAGCAGAGGCUGGUCUACCAGGCAGCUCCACUGCACCUGCCCCAGACUGAUCCACCCUCCUAAAAUCUGUGCCAUCGUCCCCCAAUGGCUUGGAUCAGAAACAAAAGUGUCACAUGCACAAAAACAUGAGCCCCGUGAAGGCAAGGACCUUUGUCUGCUUUUAUAAUGUUUUUAUCUCAACUUAUAGGCAAUAAAUAUUUGCCAAAAGAUGAACCUGGCCAGGCAUGGUGGCUCAUGCCUGUAAUCCCAGCCCUUUGGGAGGCCAAGGCAGGAGGAUCACUUUGAAGCUGGGAGUUUGAGACCAGCCUGGGCAAUAUAGCGAGACCCCAUUUCUAAAAAUAUAUAUAUAUAUUUUACAUUAGCUGGGCUACUCAGGAGGCUGAGGGAGAAGGAUUAGUUGAGCCCAGGAGAUGGAGGCUGCAGUGAGCUGUAAUUGUGCAACUGCACUCCAGCUUGGGUGACAGAGUGAGACACUGUCUCUAAAAAAAAGAAUAAACCCCAGCUUUCUCUCACACACAACCCACCCAAUCCAUCAGGAAAUUCUAUCUUCUAGAUAGAUUCCCACUCACACAUGAGCUAGCUUGAAAGGGCUCCCAGUGGCCAAAUCUGGAAUUAUUUGAACAAUACAAUAAUGAUAGUUACAGAUUAUAACCCACUGGAUAAAACAGAAAUCCAGAAUCCAUACCAAUAAUAAAUAAAUGAAUAAAUAAGGAAGAGAAGGAAAAUAUAAUCCUUACUGUAGACUGGCA
Molecule: long non-coding RNA, 1272 nt
Filed under: Homo sapiens (human)
Lineage: Eukaryota; Metazoa; Chordata; Mammalia; Primates; Hominidae
Description: HSALNT0260621
Source: RNAcentral